UUGACCGUGUACUCCCACAUGCUCUGCGGGUCGGCGAGGGUUUCCGCGCCGAAAUGGUCGCCGUCGGCCAGCGUGCCCAGACUGGUGUCGUUACCGUAAUGCCCGGCACCAAUUUUGUUCACUUUUCCAUGGGCGAUCAGGAAUGCCUGAUUGGAUUCAUGUCCGAACUCGACGAUGACGUCCCCGGCGGCGUAUUCGCGUUGUUCGAAACGGUCGGCCAGAGUGGUCAGGACAUCGAGGUCGUCGUAGCCGCGCAGGAUGGGCAGCUCGCCCAGUUCGGCGGGAAUUACCGCGACGUCGCUGCCGGUGUUGACGAAGGUCACGCGGCCGUCGCCGACGGCAUAGGUGAGGCGGCGGUUGACCCGGUAGGUGCCGCCGGAGACUUCGAUCCAGGGGAGCAUGCGGAGCAACCAGCGGGACGUGAUGCCCUGCAUCUGCGGAACGGACUUCUUCGUCGUCGCGAGAUUCCGCGCGGCGGUCGUCGCCAGGCUCUGCUGGCUGUUCCCG
Molecule: antisense RNA, 507 nt
Filed under: Actinophytocola xinjiangensis
Lineage: Bacteria; Bacillati; Actinomycetota; Actinomycetes; Pseudonocardiales; Pseudonocardiaceae
Description: Actinophytocola sp. QAIII60 Saccharopolyspora sRNA 350
Rfam family: Saccharopolyspora sRNA 350
Source: Rfam by way of RNAcentral